This is a small nuclear RNA of Perognathus longimembris pacificus (Pacific pocket mouse), 105 nucleotides long. The record is from RefSeq and is a predicted model, not a curated record. NCBI's taxonomy places the organism in Eukaryota, Metazoa, Chordata, Mammalia, Rodentia, Heteromyidae.
AUGCUUUGGCAGCACAUAUUCUAAAAUUGGAAUGAUACAGAGAAGAUUAGCAUGGCCCUGCACAAACAGGAUGACACACAAGUUUGUGAAGCAGUCUAUUUUUUU